RNAcentral lists this ribosomal RNA (1679 nucleotides) under Neodontobutis hainanensis. RNAcentral's name for it is "16S ribosomal RNA". It matches the Rfam family "Bacterial large subunit ribosomal RNA". Lineage: Eukaryota; Metazoa; Chordata; Actinopteri; Gobiiformes; Odontobutidae. The record is from RNAcentral.
CACCCAAAUAGCUAGCCCAACCCUUAAAAAACAACAACUCAACACUAAUAAACCCUAACACCCCAAAUGUAAAUAAACAAACCAUUUUUCCCCCUUAGUAUGGGAGACAAAAAAGGACCUAUGGAGCAAUAGAUAAAGUACCGCAAGGGAAAGCUGAAAGAGAAAUGAAACAAUUAGUAAAGGUUAAAAUAGCAGAGACCAACCCUCGUACCUUUUGCAUCAUGAAUUAGCCAGUAAACCCAAGCAAAGAGCCCUUUAGUUUGAAACCCCGAAACCAAGUGAGCUACCCCAAGACAGCCUAUGUAGGGCAAACCCGUCUCUGUGGCAAAAGAGUGGGAAGAGCUUUGGGUAGAGGUGAUAGACCUAACGAACUUGGUUAUAGCUGGUUGCCUAAGAACCGAAUAGAAGUUCAGCCUUUUAAUUUCUUCAUUUAAAACUGGCACCGCCUAACCCAAAUUAAAAGAAAAUAAAAGAGUUAGUCGAGGGGGGUACAGCCCCCUCGACAUAAGACACAACUUUAUAAAGAAGGCAAAAGAUUUAAUAAGAUACAGGCAACAUGCUCUAGUGGGCCUAAAAGCAGCCACCCUAGUAGAAAGCGUUAAAGCUCGAGCAUAAUAUAACCUAUUAUUACCAUAUAAUUAUCUUAAACCCCUACUUUUAUUAGGCCAUCUCAUGCCCCCAUGAGAGAGAUUAUGCUAGUAUGAGUAAUAAGAGGGCCAAGACCCUCUCCUGGCACCAGUGUACAUCAGAACGAACCCCCACUGAAAAUUAAAGCCCCCAACCAAAGAGGGCAAUGAGGGUGUACUAACUUAAAACUAGAAAAUUCCUCAAAAACAAGCGUUAACCCCACACAGGUGUGCCACAGGAAAGACAUAAAAGGAAAGAAGGAACUCGGCAAACACUAGCCUCGCCUGUUUACCAAAAACAUCGCCUCUUGCAUAUACUGGUAUAAGAGGUCCCGCCUGCCCUGUGACUAUAAGUUUAACGGCCGCGGUAUUUUGACCGUGCGAAGGUAGCGCAAUCACUUGUCUUUUAAAUGAAGACCUGUAUGAAUGGCUUAACGAGGGCUAAGCUGUCUCCUUUCCCCAGUCAAUGAAAUUGAUCUGUCCGUGCAGAAGCGGGCAUGCUAACGUAAGACGAGAAGACCCUAUGGAGCUUAAGACACUAGAAUAGUUCAUGUUAAAUAAACCCCUAUAAUGGAUUAAACCAAAUGGAAACCUAUUCUCCUGUCUUUGGUUGGGGCGACCGCGGGAAAAUAAAAAACCCCCAUGUGGAAUAAGGGUAUAACCUUUAAAACCAGAGCCACAGCUCUAAUAAACAGAACCUCUGACCAAUAAGAUCCGGCACCGCCGAUCAACGGACCGAGUUACCCUAGGGAUAACAGCGCAAUCCCCUUUUAGAGUCCAUAUCGACAAGGGGGUUUACGACCUCGAUGUUGGAUCAGGACAUCCUAAUGGUGUAGCCGCUAUUAAGGGUUCGUUUGUUCAACGAUUAAAGUCCUACGUGAUCUGAGUUCAGACCGGAGAAAUCCAGGUCAGUUUCUAUCUACGAAGUAUUCUUUUCUAGUACGAAAGGACCGAAAAGAAGAGGCCCAUGCUAAAAGCAUGCCUCCCCCCAACCUAUUGAAGGCAACUAAAAUAGGCAAAGGGGCGCCUCAAAACAACCUAAGAUAAAGGCAU